GAUGAACGCUGGCGGCGUGCCUAAUACAUGCAAGUCGAGCGAACGGACGAGAAGCUUGCUUCUCUGAUGUUAGCGGCGGACGGGUGAGUAACACGUGGAUAACCUACCUAUAAGACUGGGAUAACUUCGGGAAACCGGAGCUAAUACCGGAUAAUAUUUUGAACCGCAUGGUUCAAAAGUGAAAGACGGUCUUGCUGUCACUUAUAGAUGGAUCCGCGCUGCAUUAGCUAGUUGGUAAGGUAACGGCUUACCAAGGCAACGAUGCAUAGCCGACCUGAGAGGGGGGACCGGCCCACCGGAACCGGGAACCCGGUCAAGACCCCUAGGGGGGGAGGGGGUGGGGAAUUUUCCGAAAGGGGCGAAAGCCUGACGGGGAAACGCCGGGGGGGGAAUGAAGGUUUUCGGUCCGUAAAACUCUUUUUUUGGGGAAAAAAAAAUGGGAAAGUACCUGUCCCCCUCUUGACGGUCCCAAUCAAAAAGGCCCCGGCUAACUACGU
RNAcentral lists this ribosomal RNA (497 nucleotides) under uncultured bacterium. RNAcentral describes it as "partial 16S ribosomal RNA". It matches the Rfam family "Bacterial small subunit ribosomal RNA", at positions 28 to 506 of the family's 1533-position model. The record is from RNAcentral.